Molecule: long non-coding RNA, 2192 nt
Filed under: Homo sapiens (human)
Lineage: Eukaryota; Metazoa; Chordata; Mammalia; Primates; Hominidae
Description: HSALNT0183692
Source: RNAcentral
UGUUAUUAGGGUCUACACUGAAAGAAGUGAUAACUAUGCUGAGUAGUUUUUUUGUAUUUUUUUGUUUUUUGGUUUGUUUGUUGUUUUUUUUUUUUGAGACGGAGUCUCGCUCUGUUGCCCAGGCUGGAGUGCAGUGGUGCGAUCUUGGCUCACUCCAAGUUCCACCUUCCAGGUUCACGCCAUUCUCCUGCCUCAUAUGCUGAGUAGUUUUAAUAAAGAAAAGCAUCCAGACAUCCCCACAAACAAGACUUUGUGACUGGAGCCUCAGUAAGGGGUCACUGAACUCCAGAACCACACUCACUCAACAAGACAAAGUACCUUCCUCAACACCAGGCUGCUGAACCCUCCCAUAGCUCACACACAGCUGCCCAUUGUCAAAAACAAAAGCAAUGAGUGAGAUGGAAUUCUCUUUUCAAUAUCUGCUCCUACCCUCAAAGUAGACGCUGCCUUUGGGUGGGCCAGUCCAGUAGCAUAACCAAGGAAUGUAAAUCCUCAGCAUGUAAAGGCGGGGUGGAAAGAAGCCACAGACACGCAUGUGGGAGACUCGCGCACCCACACCAAAGCUGACUUCGAUGCUUAAAGGUCGAAGCACCGGACCCCUCUUCUUUUAUCUCUGUGGUAGAGACAAACACAACUUACAUCUCAUUUCCUCAUGAUCUACAGUGAAAGAAAGUGAGUGGAAUACAGGUUAUAGGCAUUUACAAGAUUCCAGUCCAUUGAGACCUUGCACAUGGGAACACAACAGCAUCUCUUCAAAUGCAAUUUUGAAGAUGUUCACACAGGCAUCAUGGGGAGAAGACUGGAAGGAAUGCUCUGCACCCUGGGGUUGUGUGCUGAGUGCGACUCUGGGGAAGAAAAUGACUCCACAGCUUAAAUAAAAAUGUUGAAGGCCACUGUGAGCUACAUCUCAAAUGGCCCCCGAGGGAUCUUUUCCAUGGCCUUAGCUCACUUGCAGAAGACAUCUGCAUGGCCCAGCAAGCUCCGCGGAUGCAGAGGCAGAGUGUGAUCAAAGCCCAGCUCAGCUCUCCUCUGGUCGCCGAAUACCUGUCUGGGGCACAUUGGAGAGGAGCAGGGGACCUGGUUCCUGGUGAGGCCGACAAAAAGCAGCAAUAGAAAAGUCUCAGCAUCAUGGUGGCAUUUUCUUACCUCCCAAUUAACCUUCACAUUGACUGUGCCCAUCAAGACAGCGACUGCCAUUUUCUGUGCCUCCAGGACUGGGGUCAUCAUCAGGGCUGUGCAUACAGGACAAAAAGCUCUCAUUUUUCCAUCUGGCAUUCCUCAUCUCUGGAUCGGCAUGGGCAGCAGUAAAUUCCAGGAGAGACCUUAGCCAACCAUCCCCUUUGUUUCCUGAAAGAAGAGAGGUUUAUGUUCUCCUGGAAGGCUGACCAGCAGUAACUUAGGGAAGCCACAGGCCAGCAGCACACUGAAAUGCAGAUGUGAUUAGAUAAACGAGGGAGCAAAGGCAUGUUGUGUCAUUAUAGCUUUACAUAAACUCUCCUUUUCCAAUAAGCUCGCCAAGUGUUCUCUGUUGGUAUCAAUCAAACAGCUCCUAAAAACUUACAAUUUCCUAAAACUCUACCAAAUUGGCCUUUCAGCAGUCACUGCACUGGCCCCAGGCCACCCACACUGCUGCGUGCUAGCAAGCCGCCCUCCACCUUCUACUUUACACCUCCGUUUAUUCAACCAAAAAUGUUUCUUCAUCAUCUACAUGGCAGUUGGUACGAUACUAAGAGACAUGGAAGAUUAAAAAGUAAAAAAAUCAAAUGCAAAUCAUGACCUCAAGAACAUAUAAUUUAGUGUAAAGAUAAAAUAGCAUUUACUGUUAUAUAAAGAGGAAACUUAUUUGUACAGCAAGUAAAAUUCAGCAGCAUUUUACAUCCGUGUUUUUCUGUGGAAUUUUGCAGUCUCAUUCUAGUAAUUAUAUUCUUGUUGUAUCUUUUAUUUAUUUGCCCAUUUUUACUGUCACUGUAAUUUUCUCUCUAGGACACCACCAACAAAUAAGAAUAUGGAAAUAAAAACUGAAAUGGGCCUUUGAGGUCAUCCAGUUCCGCGAAGUCAUUUCACAAAUGAGAAAAUCAAGGCCUAUAGAAAUUAAAAGAUAUGUCCAAAGUCAUAGGCUCAAUUCGUAGAAGUAUUAGCUCUAGGCCUCCCCACUGCCCGACUUAAUAUUUCAUUGCCAAUAUAACUUUUGA